GUGCCAGCAGCCGCGGUAAAACGUAGGAGACAAGCGUUAUCCGAAUUUACUGGGCGUAAAGCGCGUGCAGGUGGUUUGGCAAGUGGAAUGUGAAAUCUCCCGGCUCAACUGGGAGGGGCCGUUCCAAACUGCCAGACUAGAGGGCGGUAGAGGGAGGUGGAAUUCCCGGUGUAGUGGUGAAAUGCGUAGAUAUCGGGAGGAACACCUGUGGCGAAAGCGGCCUCCUAGACCGUACCUGACGCUCAGACGCGAAAGCUAGGGGAGUGAACGGGAUUAGAAACCCCGGUAAUCCUAGCCGUAAACGAUGUGGACUGGGUGUCGGUGGGGUAAAAGCCAUCGGUGCCGAAGCCAACGCGAUAAGUCCACCGCCUGGGGACUACGGCCGCAAGGUUAAA
Molecule: ribosomal RNA, 395 nt
Filed under: uncultured bacterium
Lineage: Bacteria
Description: bacterial SSU rRNA
Rfam family: Bacterial small subunit ribosomal RNA
Source: RNAcentral